UCCUCGUUAGUAUAGUGGUGAGUAUCCCCGCCUGUCACGCGGGAGACCGAGGUUCGAUUCCCCGACGGGGAG
Molecule: non-coding RNA, 72 nt
Organism: Xenopus tropicalis (tropical clawed frog)
Lineage: Eukaryota; Metazoa; Chordata; Amphibia; Anura; Pipidae
Source: Rfam